CACGGACGAACGCUGGCGGCGUGCCUAACACAUGCAAGUCGAACGGACUGAUUCGCUUCGGUGAUGAAAGUAGUGGCGGACGGGUGAGUAACGCGUGAGUAACCUGCCUUCAGAGGGGGGAUAACGUUUGGAAACGAACGCUAAUACCGCAUAACAUAUCGUUGUCGCAUGGCAGUGAUAUCAAAGGAGCAAUCCGCUGGAAGAUGGACUCGCGUCUGAUUAGAUAGUUGGCGGGGUAACGGCCCACCAAGUCGACGAUCAGUAGCCGGACUGAGAGGUUGAACGGCCACAUUGGGACUGAGACACGGCCCAGACUCCUACGGGAGGCAGCAGUGAGGGAUAUUGCACAAUGGGCGCAAGCCUGAUGCAAGCAACGCCGCGUGAAGGAUGACGGUUUUCGGAUUGUAAACUUCUGUUCUUAGUGAUGAUAAUGACAUUAGCUAAGGAGAAAGCCACGGCUAACUACGUGCCAGCCGCCGC
RNAcentral lists this ribosomal RNA (480 nucleotides) under uncultured bacterium. Its description in RNAcentral is "bacterial SSU rRNA". It matches the Rfam family "Bacterial small subunit ribosomal RNA", at positions 27 to 518 of the family's 1533-position model. The record is from RNAcentral.